This 978-nucleotide long non-coding RNA is filed under the name Monodelphis domestica (gray short-tailed opossum). Its description in RNAcentral is "lncRNA (ENSMODG00000045705.1)". The record is from RNAcentral. Lineage: Eukaryota; Metazoa; Chordata; Mammalia; Didelphimorphia; Didelphidae.
AAUGAAAAUACUUAGCUCUCCCCUGAUUGUGAAGAUUUAAUUGUAAUCCCUAUCUAUUUUUAGAACACGGUACUUAAAAGUUAAGUAUGAAGAUCUGCCCAUUUAGAUCUAAUCACCAAAAGUGCAAAUAUCCCACUUGAUCAUGAAGUGGGAGGUCUGUGACCCACAUGUGUGAUAGUGGAUGAUGAAUCAGAAUCAACUGACUGCCUUCUGUGCAGUCCUAAAACAAAGUGUCAACUGUGAUUGGUAGACGUAAAAUUAGGGGAAGACACAGGAAGUAAUGCAAAAGAAGUGUCUUGAAAAUGAGCUGUUACUUCCUGUGAGAAUUCAAUUCUUGAUGCUUUCGAGUUGAGGCUGGUGAAGCGGGCAGAAGGAUCUACUGACUGGACUGACACCUGACAGCAAUAUAUAAUCAUUAAACCCCUGGAAACUGAAAAAGGAUCACCAAAAGGAUCAUUAUGGAGAAGGAGGAGAAAAAAGCUCAAGACAGGACUUUUGGAAGAAAAUAACCACCCAACCAGAUGCAGGACAUGGAUGAUGUUCAGCAAGAGACUGCAGAGUGGUCAUGGCAGAUAGAUAAGAAAAGAGAUCAAAGAAACAAAGGACCAAUGAUGUACAAAAAUAUAUGACAGUUCUUUUUAUAGUGGUGAAAAACUAGAAACAAAGGGUGAGAUCUUCAUUUGGGGAAUAGACAAAUUAUUUUAUAUGAAUGUAAUGGAAUACUGUUGAGAAAGAAUGAAAGGGGUGGUGGCAGAGAAAGCUGGGAGAACUUGUAUGAACUGAUGUAGAACAAAGUAAACGUAUAACCAGAACAAUUUACAUAGUAACUUUAUGAAGGUAAACAACUUUGAAAGACUUAACUAAUCAAUGCAAUGACCAAUCACAUCUCCAGAGGACUAAAUAUGCUACCCACCUCUCACAGAGAAAUGAUAGAUUCAAGAUGCAGAAUGAGAGAUAUUUGGGGUCUUGGAUAAUUUA